This 91-nucleotide transfer RNA is filed under the name Planctomycetota bacterium. RNAcentral describes it as "Planctomycetes bacterium (marine metagenome) tRNA-Ser". It matches the Rfam family "tRNA". From Rfam's summary of the family: Transfer RNA (tRNA) molecules are approximately 80 nucleotides in length. Their secondary structure includes four short double-helical elements and three loops (D, anti-codon, and T loops). Lineage: Bacteria; Pseudomonadati; Planctomycetota. The record is from RNAcentral.
GGAGAGGUGCCAGAGCUGGCCGAAUGGGCUGGUUUCGAAAACCAGUGAGGUCGCGAGGCCUCCGAGGGUUCGAAUCCCUCCCUCUCCGCCA